UGGGGAAUUUUGGACAAUGGGGGAAACCCUGAUCCAGCCGUCCCGCGUGUGCGAUGAAGGCCUUCGGGUUGUAAAGCACUUUUGGCAGGAAAGAAACGUCAUGGGUUAAUACCCCGUGAAACUGACGGUACCAGCAGAAUAAGCACCGGCUAACUACGUGCCAGCAGCCGCGGUAAUACGUAGGGUGCAAGCGUUAAUCGGAAUUACUGGGCGUAAAGCGUGCGCAGGCGGUUCGGAAAGAAAGAUGUGAAAUCCCAGAGCUCAACUUUGGAACUGCAUUUUUAACUACCGGGCUAGAGUGUGUCAGAGGGAGGUGGAAUUCCGCGUGUAGCAGUGAAAUGCGUAGAUAUGCGGAGGAACACCGAUGGCGAAGGCAGCCUCCUGGGAUAACACUGACGCUCAUGCACGAAAGCGUGGGGAGCAAACAGG
This 429-nucleotide ribosomal RNA is filed under the name Acidobacteriota bacterium. RNAcentral's name for it is "Acidobacteria bacterium partial 16S ribosomal RNA". It matches the Rfam family "Bacterial small subunit ribosomal RNA", at positions 355 to 776 of the family's 1533-position model. Lineage: Bacteria; Pseudomonadati; Acidobacteriota. The record is from RNAcentral.